AACAGGCUCGUGCAGUCUCGAGCACAGUGAGGUUAGGUCUAAAACUUAAUAAUUUUUUAAUUUUUUUACUUGAAAGACUUUCACCUGAUGCUCUGCUAUGUCUUCUUCAUAAUGCAUAUUUUAUUAAUGUCAUUAAAGAAUCUAUUUUGUUUUUGGAUUGAAUUGUUCUCCGGGUUCAGUGUGUGGCCUGAAAACCUCUGUUUUAUUUUAUUUUUUACUACUUUAAGCUCUGUUUGUUACCCAUAGUUUUGGUUUUGAUUGAUGGACUUAAAAAAAAAUCCCAAUUUUCCUUAAUAUGUUUUUGUUUAGUUAUUGAGAUGGACCACCAGAUGUCAGUUCUUUAGUAUUUUGAUAAGUAAGCAUAAACAAAAAAAGAUAUUCUAAUUGCAAUUUUAGCCUAAUUUAUCUCACCCCUAAUCUUAUGUCAUUUGUAGGUAAAUUUAAAUUUCCUUGUGAAUGACGUUUUUGUCCAUCUAGUAGUUGGCAUAUUUAUAUAUAUUUUGAUUCUGAUAUGUACAUAUCGUCAGUGGUAGUGUUUUCCUUUUUCUUUUUUACCUGUCGCCCAAAAUAAGGAAAAUGUAAAAUAACAAAAUAAUCUUCUCUUGAAAUUUUUUUUGAAAAAAGGUAUAAUAUAAUAAUUUCACAAAAGUACUAAAUUAUGACUCAAAUUUUUAACUUUGAAACAUUUUAAUUGAUUUUUUCAAAAUAAAUACCGUGUGAAAAAUUGAUACCAACGUUAAAUGCUAUCCUGCUGAGCGUAUUUCCAUUGAUCAAAUUAUAAGUUCAUGUUAGAUUACAAUUUGAUUCAUAUAUUUUAGGCUUAGGCUUAAUUUUUUAUUUAGAAAAAGACAUCAUUAAACGAUUAUAAUAGAUAAACCACAAUUAAGAGGAAUUAGACCUGUAACAAUCUCUUUUCAACAAGCUUAUAACUGAUGCUGGUGGUGUUCUAAAUCAAUGUAUCAAAGAACUUACUGAAUCGGCAUAUUUAGUCAUGUGAUUCACAAUACUAUUAAGAUUUCUUGGGAUACGUCAGAUAUGAACCUCUUAUUUUCGACACAAUACCUGACAAUUGACGUAGUAGUUGUAACUCUACUAAAUUACUACUAGCUCCUCUACGAUAAAAGUAAUUUAAUCAAUAAUGCAUUAUCACAUUCAAUUUCAACAUUUCUAAACCUUUUAUCCUAAGCUAAACAUAAUCCUUUCAACAUUAAAGAAUGAUUCAUUGUCUAAACUCUUAAUAUUUGUUUAGACUCUUGUAUUACAAUGAUAUUUGUAUUUAUGAAUUUUUUUUAUAUUUUCGGUCACUUUGCCGUCUGUACUUCCACGAUAGCCCAUUCUUUAUAUUUUUUACAUGGUUGUGUAAGCUAGAUAAUAGUAAAAAAGGUUAAAGUGAGACUUGCAGUAUAAUAUAGGGACCAAAAGUGCAAACACAUGAACAUGUGGGUUUUCUUUUUAACGGGAUGAAAGUAAAACGAUGGGUGAAGUGAAUGAAAAAUAGUAAAAGAAUCAAAAGUGAAGGUAAAAAUAGGUAUAAAAAAAGCCUAUUAUUUAAAUAUGCUGACAAAAUAAUCAGAUUGGUAUGAAAUUAAUUUAAUUAGAAAUUGGAGAAUAAUAUUUCAAAACGAAUAUAAUAAUAUGUUAAUGUUUUCCUCGGGGACUUAUCUUUUCGUCUUUUAAGAGUUUGAGACGUGGGUUUAUGGUUUUUCAGUACUGAACCCCAUUUAUUCAGAAUGGUCCAGCGUGAAGGGAAAGGAUAAAAAAACAGAAGAAUCUAAGGAACUACACAAGGUUGGCAGUUGUGGAACAUUUAGAAUAGUUGAAGCUUGGGAUAAUUCUGGAACAUAAAAAAAGGAAAGAGGGAGUUGUUCUGUUGUUGUUAGGAAAAUGUCUUUUACUUGCAAUACAAUCAAAAUUAUAAACAAACUGUCGGUUGGGGAAUGUCAGCGAAUUGCUCAAC
This 1957-nucleotide long non-coding RNA is filed under the name Gossypium barbadense (sea-island cotton). RNAcentral's name for it is "long non-coding RNA (GBAR_LNC007707)". The record is from RNAcentral. Lineage: Eukaryota; Viridiplantae; Streptophyta; Magnoliopsida; Malvales; Malvaceae.